AACGAACGCUGGCGGCAGGCCUAACACAUGCAAGUUGAGCGCGCAUUUCGGUGCUAGCGGCGGACGGGUGAGUCACGCGUGGGAUCGCGCCCUCUUCUGCGGAAUCGUCCUGGGACACUGGGCGUAAUACCGCAUACGCCCUCUUGGGGAAGGAUUUAUCGGAGUAGGCUCGGCCCGCGUUGGAUUAGGGAGUUGGUGUUGUAACAGCCUACUAAGCCGCCGAUCCAUAGCUGGUUUGAGAGGAUGAUCAGCCACACUGGGACUGAGACACGGCCCAGACUCCUUCGGCAGGAAGCAGUGGAGAAUCUUAGACAACAGGGGCAACACUGAUCUAGCCAGGCCGCGUGAGUGAAGGAGGCCUUAGAGGUGUAAAGCUCUUUCAACUGUGAAGAUAAUGAGGUGACCAACAGAAUAAGCCCGGGCUAGCUCCGUG
RNAcentral lists this ribosomal RNA (433 nucleotides) under uncultured bacterium. Its description in RNAcentral is "partial 16S ribosomal RNA". It matches the Rfam family "Bacterial small subunit ribosomal RNA", at positions 29 to 507 of the family's 1533-position model. The record is from RNAcentral.